Non-coding RNA from Phasianus colchicus (ring-necked pheasant), 1189 nucleotides. The record is from RefSeq and is a predicted model, not a curated record. Lineage: Eukaryota; Metazoa; Chordata; Aves; Galliformes; Phasianidae.
UUGGAAGAGACCUCAAAGAUCACCUAGUUCCACCCUUCAUGCUCAUAUAUCUCUUUGGUCUGAAUCGUAACACCAUUAUUGUCACAGGUGCACAGCACAAGAGGGAGCUGAAGAACAUAGGUUAUGGGACUUGCCCAGGCUGAUGAGCAAAGUUGCAAUUAUGAAUAUGAAUAAUUGAGGUUGGCUUUCAUAUCAGCAGCCAGAGGACACGCUGCUGAAGACAGACACUUAAAAGUGAGAGGAGACCCAAGUUUUAAGCAGGUUUUCUCGUUUGAAAAUGGGCAUCCUGCCAUGCCAGAACCAUUACUGCUCUCCAGACUGCAGCUUAGUCCUAGGGCUAAAUGCAGUGCCAUGGAAGCAGAUACCUGGGGGAUGUUUGGAGAUGCACAGCUGCUGCCUGUGGUUGACGUCCAUGAUGUGUGACUGAGCAAAGGCUGCUUUCUUCCCAGCUCCUUCUGUUUGUAGCACUUAAAGUCAGAGAAGCAAUAAUGAGUCUCUGUCUUCAAGAUAAAAGGAAUAUCAGCUUUCACAGAUCUUUUUUUUUUCCCAAUUGUCAGAAAUCAGGUCAAGAGGCUGCGUUAAACAAUUGCUGCCUGGACUUUCCUUCAAAAAGGAAAGUACAACUUGAGUUUUGUCCUUUGCACCACACUGCCUUUUCUUAGGCUCCUUUUUGUGAUGAAAGGAGGACAUAGAUGCUGCCUGGAUGUACUGGUGAACAGUUCACACCUGCCUCACUGAUUACAGUCUGAGGGAUUAUCCUAACCCUGCUCCAGUGGUCUUCAGUGCUGUUUUGAAAUCAGGAUGGAGUUGAAGAAAAUUAGGAAGGUCUGUGAGACCAGCUCUUCAUGCAGUAUGGAGCAGUACGAGCUGGAGCCUCUUCUGGCUGAUCAUCAGGGUGAAGCAAACCACUGCAUUGUUACUUGGAAAUUGGCCAGGUUUGCAGCUGAAGCAUCAACACAAGCUGUCUAACAGCAUGUUGAUGCUACUGUCUUUGGGAAUGAUGCAGAAGAGUUCAUUAUUAGUGAGGUUCUGGAAACUGAGACCCACAGAUCUUUGAGAAGAUUGCCUUGGGAAGUCUUGCAGUAACACCAGUGGAUGCCCCUUCCAAACAACCUUUGCCAUCAGAAAGCUGUUGGGGGAGGAUUUCUGCAGAGGUGAGAGUUUCAGCUCUUAUCUAGAUUGCCUCCAU